UAAACCGACACAGGUGGACUGGUAGAGAAUACCAAGGCGCUUGAGAGAACGAUGUUGAAGGAACUCGGCAAAAUACCUCCGUAAGUUCGCGAGAAGGAGGCCCGGUUCCUAGGCAACUAGGGGCUGGGGGCACAAACCAGGGGGUGGCGACUGUUUACUAAAAACACAGGGCUCUGCGAAGUCGCAAGACGACGUAUAGGGUCUGACGCCUGCCCGGUGCCUGAAGGUUAAAAGGAGGGGUGAGAGCUCUGAAUUGAAGCCCAGGUAAACGGCGGCCGUAACUAUAACGGUCCUAAGGUAGCGAAAUUCCUUGUCGGGUAAGUUCCGACCUGCACGAAUGGCGUAACGACUUCCCAGCUGUCUCAACCAGAGACUCAGCGAAAUUGAAGUACGAGUAAAGAUGCUCGUUAGCUGUGGAAGGACGGAAAGACCCCAUGGACCUUCACUAUAACUUGGUGUUGAGUCUUGAAUUGCGUUGUGUAGGAUAGGUGGGAGGCUUGGAAGCAUUGGCGCCAGCCAGUGUGGAGCCAUCGUUGAAAUACCACCCUGCGUAUGACGAGGCUCUAACCCAGACCCGUUAUCCGGGUCGGGAACAGCGUCAGGUGGGUAGUU
This 612-nucleotide ribosomal RNA is filed under the name bacterium. RNAcentral's name for it is "partial 23S ribosomal RNA". It matches the Rfam family "Bacterial large subunit ribosomal RNA", at positions 1649 to 2270 of the family's 2925-position model. The record is from RNAcentral.